This 498-nucleotide ribosomal RNA is filed under the name uncultured bacterium. RNAcentral describes it as "partial 16S ribosomal RNA". It matches the Rfam family "Bacterial small subunit ribosomal RNA", at positions 30 to 523 of the family's 1533-position model. The record is from RNAcentral.
AUUGAACGCUGGCGGCAUGCCUUACACAUGCAAGUCGAACGGUAACAGGUCUUCGGAUGCUGACGAGUGGCGAACGGGUGAGUAAUACAUCGGAACGUGCCUAGUAGUGGGGGAUAACUACUCGAAAGAGUGGCUAAUACCGCAUGAGAUCUACGGAUGAAAGCAGGGGAUCGCAAGACCUUGUGCUACUAGAGCGGCCGAUGGCAGAUUAGGUAGUUGGUGGGAUAAAAGCUUACCAAGCCGACGAUCUGUAGCUGGUCCGAGAGGACGAUCAGCCACACUGGGAGUGAGACACGGCCCAGACUCCUACGGGAGGCAGCAGUGGGGAAUUUUGGACAAUGGGCGCAAGCCUGAUCCAGCAAUGCCGCGUGCAGGAUGAAGGCCUUCGGGUUGUAAACCGCUUUUGUACGGAACGAAAAGCCCUGGGUUAAUACCCUGGGGUCAUGACGGUACCGUAAGAAUAAGCACCGGCUAACUACGUGCCAGCCGCCGCCGUAA